RNAcentral lists this ribosomal RNA (434 nucleotides) under uncultured Lachnospiraceae bacterium. RNAcentral describes it as "partial 16S ribosomal RNA". It matches the Rfam family "Bacterial small subunit ribosomal RNA", at positions 341 to 792 of the family's 1533-position model. Lineage: Bacteria; Bacillati; Bacillota; Clostridia; Lachnospirales; Lachnospiraceae. The record is from RNAcentral.
ACGGGAGGCAGCAGUGGGGAAUAUUGGGCAAUGGGCGCAAGCCUGAUCCAGCGACGCCGCGUGAGUGAAGAAGUAUUUCGGUAUGUAAAGCUCUAUCAGCAGGGAAGAUAAUGACGGUACCUGACUAAGAAGCCCCGGCUAACUACGUGCCAGCAGCCGCGGUAAUACGUAGGGGGCAAGCGUUAUCCGGAUUUACUGGGUGUAAAGGGAGCGUAGACGGUAUGGCAAGUCUGAUGUGAAAACCCAGGGCUCAACCCUGGGACUGCAUUGGAAACUGUCAAACUAGAGUGCAAGAGAGGUAAGCGGAAUUCCUAGUGUAGCGGUGAAAUGCGUAGAUAUUAGGAGGAACACCAGUGGCGAAGGCGGCUUACUGGACUGUAACUGACGUUGAGGCUCGAAAGCGUGGGGAACAAACAGGAUUAGAUACCCUGGUA